GCCCCAGUAGCUCAGGGGAUAGAGCGUCGGUUUCCUAAACCGUGCGUCGGAUGUUCGAAUCAUCUCUGGGGUGCCA
RNAcentral lists this transfer RNA (76 nucleotides) under Bacillota bacterium. Its description in RNAcentral is "tRNA-Arg". It matches the Rfam family "tRNA". Rfam says of the family: Transfer RNA (tRNA) molecules are approximately 80 nucleotides in length. Their secondary structure includes four short double-helical elements and three loops (D, anti-codon, and T loops). Further hydrogen bonds mediate the characteristic L-shaped molecular structure. tRNAs have two regions of fundamental functional importance: the anti-codon, which is responsible for specific mRNA codon recognition, and the 3' end, to which the tRNAs corresponding amino acid is attached (by aminoacyl-tRNA synthetases). tRNAs cope with the degeneracy of the genetic code in two manners: having more than one tRNA (with a specific anti-codon) for a particular amino acid; and 'wobble' base-pairing, i.e. permitting non-standard base-pairing at the 3rd anti-codon position. The record is from RNAcentral. RNAcentral also lists the same sequence under 2 other names. Lineage: Bacteria; Bacillati; Bacillota.